GAGUGAAGCGGCAACAGCUCAAAUUUGAAAGCUGGCCCUUUUAGGGUCCGCGUUGUAAUUUGUAGAGGAUGAUUCGGCGAGGGCUCCUGCCUAAGUCCCCUGGAACGGGGCGUCAUAGAGGGUGAGAAUCCCGUAUGCGGUAGGUUGCCUUAGCCAUGUGAAUCUCCUUCGACGAGUCGAGUUGUUUGGGAAUGCAGCUCUAAAUGGGAGGUAAAUUUCUUCUAAAGCUAAAUACUGGCCAGAGACCGAUAGCGCACAAGUAGAGUGAUCGAAAGAUGAAAAGCACUUUGGAAAGAGAGUUAAAAAGUACGUGAAAUUGUUGAAAGGGAAGCGCUUGCAACCAGACUUGUCCGCAGUUGCUCAGCCGGUCUCCUGACCGGCGUACUCUUCUGCGGCCAGGCCAGCAUCAGUUCGGGCGGUCGGAUAAAGGCCUCGGGAAUGUAGCUCCUCUCGGGGAGUGUUAUAGCCCGGGGCGGAAUGCGGCCAGCCUGGAC
Molecule: ribosomal RNA, 494 nt
Filed under: Lasiodiplodia pseudotheobromae
Lineage: Eukaryota; Fungi; Ascomycota; Dothideomycetes; Botryosphaeriales; Botryosphaeriaceae
Description: LSU rRNA
Rfam family: Eukaryotic large subunit ribosomal RNA
Source: RNAcentral